RNAcentral lists this small RNA (131 nucleotides) under Streptomyces sp. F-1. Its description in RNAcentral is "Streptomyces-metH RNA". It matches the Rfam family "Streptomyces-metH RNA". The record is from Rfam by way of RNAcentral. RNAcentral also lists the same sequence under 1 other name. Lineage: Bacteria; Bacillati; Actinomycetota; Actinomycetes; Kitasatosporales; Streptomycetaceae.
CGCGUCCGUCACGUGGACGCCUGUGCCCAUCCAAGCCCACACCCGGUUAGUCUGGCGCCGUGCGGACCCCCCGCCUGCCCUGGGGUCCCGCAUAGCCGACAGCCGUCGCACCUUCAGGGAGCCCCUACAUG